GGCACAUUCAUUCAUUCCUUUCAAAUCAGUACUUGUUCGAUCAUUCUUUUUACAUGAAUUGCAUGGUACGUACAUGAUGUUUAUUAUUUAAUUUAAUUCCAUGACACAUUUAAUUAAUUAUAUAUCAAUCAAUCAAUCAAUUAAACCCUUCCAGGAGACCUUGGGUCAUGGUGGUUGUUUGCUCCAAUUCCUGGGUAAUCUGUGCUUUCCAAAACCAUUCUUCCCUCUACAACUCCUUCCACCAUUAACAUAUCUCCUUCUUCUACCAUCAAUUCCUACACCAACAAAUUCAUAUAUUAAUUAUAUCAUAUAUAUUACAUACUAAAUAAAUAUACAUAUAUAUUAAUUCUACUAUUAUUAAGAAAAUAAAUAAUUAAUUAAACCAUGAUUUAACAGUGAAGAAUCACCUAGACCAAAGUCACAUAACAAAAUCAAAUAUUUACAUCGUCCUAAUUGUCGCUGAUGAAUUCAAUCUCAUCCUCAUCCUCAUCCUCAUUCAUCGGUCAGAGAAUUCAAGCCAACUUGUAACUCUUUUUUCAUAAAUAUGGUCUGCAUCUUUUUUGGGUGAAUUGUUUUGAUCAACAACUUUACUGUUCCGAUCCUAUAAUAGAUGAAAUAAAUUAAAAAAUAAAAGAAAACACAGGCAAGUGAAAGUGAUUCUAUAAGUCGGCCUCACCUCAUUCUAUUCCAUUAAUCAAAAAGAAGUUAUCCCACCAAAAAAGAAAAGAAAAAUAGCACAAAUAUGAAACUAUAAAAGAGAAAACAAAACUCAAUUAUCCACAGAACCAUAUCUAAUUUACCAACAAUUAGUAAGAACAUAGAACAUACUUCCAGUAAAAUAAGGUCCAUGAAUUCCGGAAUCGAAAAAAGGCUAGAACAUUACUGAGAGCCUGCAUGAGGGGUAUCAAUGACUAAUAGAAAUAAAUUACUUAGAUCUCAGCCUCAUUUUCCGAUGCUUCCUCUUCAACCUCCUCAUUCUUUUCUUCUUCGGCUGCAAAAUCAUAUCCAAUUUCAAACGAUCAAUUGAACACUAUGAAUAAUCACCUAGACCAACCAAACCAUAUACCAAAAAUAUACUCAAAUGAACCUUACAACUUACCUAAACUGAAGAAAACAGGACAGAGAAACGUAGCAAUUUACCUUUAAAUUCCUCCACAGAGAAGCAAAGGUGUCAUACAUGCUCUAAACACCAACUCUUCUGUAAGUGGUGCCUGUUUGAUUAAGUAAAAUUCUCAAAGUUUAAAUAACAACCAAAACGAUAACUGGCAACUGGAAAAUAACAAUCAGUGAAAUCAGAAACUUGUAAUCCAUGUGAAAAGUUUAAGUAAAGUAAGAAGACAAAACUUCUGGUUUACAUUCCUCUUUAAGUAUCCUAAACCAAUUUAUUACUAAUUUGAUCACCACCACUUGUAUUGAUUGAUGGGUUACCAAACUAUUUUCAUGGGUUAGAUAAAAAUUUAUAUUUAUUGCAAGAAGAACUUCCAUUGGAAGUUGGUCACGAUAACGGUAGGCAAAAGUUUUUUGCCGAAUUAUUUGCAGCUUUCAGUUCAAUUCAAUACUUGCCUGAGAAGGUAUGAAUAACUUGGUAACACAACAAUUCAGUAGAGAAAAAAAAAGGGAUUUCCAUAAGUACCAAUUCAGUAACAUAAUGAAAUUAAAAAUCCUAUCACGGGUAAAGAAUUCUAGGUACAUUCAGAAACAACGAAAAUACCAUUGCCAUCACCAAAUAGGCCGUGUUUUUAAGAAAAAAUUUACAUGCUAAUAUUGGCCCACUAUUCAAAUUAGAUGUGCAAAACAUGCAUUUUUGCUAUUGUUGAGUGGAUAUGUUGCCCAUGAAUUAGGCGGAUGCUCUAAGAGUUUAGGAUGGUCUUGAUUCCAAAAACACAAAAUAUGGAUCUUUGUAUAUGCAUGCACAUUACAGAUGCUAUCAGUAACAUAAUAAAAAAAAGGGAUUUCCAUAAGUACCAAUUCAGUAACAUAAUGAAAUUAAAAAUCCUAUCACGGGUAAAGAAUUCUAGGUACAUUCAGAAACAACAAAAAUACCGUUGCCAUCACCAAAUAGGCCGUGUUUUUAAGAAAAAAUUUACAUGCCAAUAUUGACCCACUAUUUAAAUUAGAUGUGCAUAACAUGCAUUUUUGCUAUUGUUGAGUGGAUAUUUUGCCCAUGAAUUAGGCGGAUGCUCUAAGAGUUUAGGAUGGUCUUGAUUUCAAAAACACAAAAUGCAUCUUUGUAUAUGCGUGCACAUUACAGAUGAUAUCAUCAAUGCAGAUAAGCACAAUAAUCACAGACUACAGUUCAUAGGCUAGAAUAUAAGCCUAUAAAAUGGUGAUUGAAAUCAAAGUUGCACUAAACCUUAAUUACUUACCUGCAGUAUCUCAAAAUCCAAGGUUAACAGUAUUCUCAUUCACUACCACAUUAGCACUAAAGUUGUCAAAAAAUGUAGGUGCAUAAUCCUAUGAUCAAAUUAAAAGGAAAAAAUAAAAUAAAACUAAUCCAUGCCUCAACACUGAUUAGGCCAUCCUUAAUUAGGCCAUCCCUCAACACUGAUUUUCCUCCAAUCUUUACAGAUAUACAGUUAAAAAAUCACAUUCAGAACAUUAAUUAAAUAAAUUAUUGAAAAAACUGUCAUACAUGGAAUUAGCUAUAAAUACCUGUUGGAUGCAAUUUGUAGCAAUCCUACACAAUAUAUACAAAUUGGCAUAUUAAAAAAUUGAAUCAACUGAUAAUAACUCAAGAAAUAUGUUAAGGAAUGGAAUCAAUAAAGUACAUAGCUUUGGAGGCAAGGUUUGCUGCAAAACGAUACAUAUAUUUUUGUAAUUGUUGAAGAAACUUUGAGGUAAUGCACGGGAAAAAUAAUUCAAUCCGUUAUUUUUUCUGAAUCUAAGGAAGACAAGUCAACAAAUUUAUGACCAUAUUUGAAUGAAAAUGUGAAUGUUAUCCUCAAAUAUAUCAAUCAUCUGAGGCAUAUGAACAGAUUUGAAAGAUCCAAAAUAAAUCAGUGAAUUAUGUGGAAAACAUACAUAUUUGCUAACUCAUGUUGCAUCCGGUUUCCCUCCUAGCUAAGAAUAUGUUCGAUGCACGGAUCAAAAGACUUCCCAAAUCUAUACGACUACCAACAGCAAUUCCUGCAAAUUGAAGCAACUCAUCAAUUUAGCAAUGCAUAUAACUGUAUAUGUAGCACAUCCAUAAAUUACAAAAUCCCAAGAAUAUAUGAAAAUUUAUACAUAAAUCAUAAAGAUUAGUACGUUAUAUGGAAAAUAUGCUAAUAGUUUCAAUGUAUGUGCUAUAACAGCAGUCAAAAACAGAAAAUGCAUUUGAAAGGAAGGCCCCCAUGGAAAUUUACUAUAAAACAGAGCAGUUGCUGAUACCUGACAACAAUUACACAGCUAUCUGAUAAUGACUGAGAGAGAGAGACUAUAUCUAAUAAUUACCUGCUGCAAGGUUUAUCCGAAGUAAUUUAUUAAGCCUUCGUGUCGCUGCCAGGUAUAAUGUGAGAAUAUCAGGAAGUUUUAUAGACCUCUACCAAAAUUAACGCAAGACUAAACCUCUGAAGUGCAUAAAGAAGACUAAGAAGAACAACAACAUCCAGAACAAAGUAUAAUACACAGGCUAGAAUGGAUUGAGUUGGUUACCAAAUCCAUCGGUCUGAUGAUGAGAUUGAGUAGGAUGUCGCCGAACUCAAGAGAGGAUUUGGGUGUCGAAAUCAAGAGAGGAUUUGGGUGCCUGGCCUGAAAAUAAUAGGGUUUAAACCCCCAAAUUGGCAGAGAAGAAAUUUGUUUGAAUUUCUAUUGAAGAAGAUAAUGAAUGCGACUGGAGUGAGAAGAGAAGAAGAGUCGAUUGAAGUAGAGGAAAAUGAAUCGAUCACUUGGUUUUCAAAUCGACUGAGUUAAUUUUAUAAUUAACUGAGUUAACUCUCCU
This 3919-nucleotide long non-coding RNA is filed under the name Panax ginseng (ginseng). Its description in RNAcentral is "long non-coding RNA (PGIN_LNC017597)". Lineage: Eukaryota; Viridiplantae; Streptophyta; Magnoliopsida; Apiales; Araliaceae. The record is from RNAcentral.